This 219-nucleotide long non-coding RNA is filed under the name Lathyrus oleraceus (garden pea). RNAcentral describes it as "Pisum sativum (pea) long non-coding RNA (PSAT_LNC009156)". Lineage: Eukaryota; Viridiplantae; Streptophyta; Magnoliopsida; Fabales; Fabaceae. The record is from RNAcentral.
AAAGAAAACUGUGGCUCAAAGGUCCCCCAGAAAGAAGAUUGAUGUUCCAACCUCUUCCAAGACAAAGAUGGCAGUCGAGAGUUCCCCCAAGAGGAAAGGUCAUGGUCCAGACAAAUCUUGGUGCAAAGUGGUGCCCAAGAAAAAGAAGACCAAGUUUGUUAUUGUUGAGUCUGACUCAGAUGUUCCUUGUAAUGUCUCUAACACUCUGUCAAAGAAGAA